UGGGGUGUAGCCAAGCGGUUAAGGCACCAGACUUUGACUCUGGUAUGCGCAGGUUCAAAUCCCGCCACCCCAGCCA
This 76-nucleotide transfer RNA is filed under the name Clostridium sp. RNAcentral describes it as "tRNA-Gln". It matches the Rfam family "tRNA". From Rfam's summary of the family: Transfer RNA (tRNA) molecules are approximately 80 nucleotides in length. Their secondary structure includes four short double-helical elements and three loops (D, anti-codon, and T loops). Further hydrogen bonds mediate the characteristic L-shaped molecular structure. tRNAs have two regions of fundamental functional importance: the anti-codon, which is responsible for specific mRNA codon recognition, and the 3' end, to which the tRNAs corresponding amino acid is attached (by aminoacyl-tRNA synthetases). tRNAs cope with the degeneracy of the genetic code in two manners: having more than one tRNA (with a specific anti-codon) for a particular amino acid; and 'wobble' base-pairing, i.e. permitting non-standard base-pairing at the 3rd anti-codon position. The record is from RNAcentral. Lineage: Bacteria; Bacillati; Bacillota; Clostridia; Eubacteriales; Clostridiaceae. RNAcentral also lists the same sequence under 5 other names.